This 510-nucleotide ribosomal RNA is filed under the name Phytoecia algerica. RNAcentral describes it as "partial 16S ribosomal RNA". It matches the Rfam family "Bacterial large subunit ribosomal RNA", at positions 1819 to 2600 of the family's 2925-position model. Lineage: Eukaryota; Metazoa; Arthropoda; Insecta; Coleoptera; Cerambycidae. The record is from RNAcentral.
GGCCUUUUGAUAAUAAUUUUAGGUCUAACCUGCCCAGUGAGGAGUUUAACGGCCGCAGUAUUUUGACUGUGCUAAGGUAGCAUAAUCAUUAGUUUUUUAAUUAAAAGCUUGUAUGAAUGGUUGAAUGAAAAAAAUUCUGUCUCUAAAUUAUUUUUAUUGAAUUUUAUUUUUAAGUAAAAAAGCUUAAAUUUUAUUAAAAGACGAGAAGACCCUAUAGAGUUUUAUAUAAUUUUAAUUUUUAAAAUUUGGGUAUAUUUAUUAAAAUUUAAAAUUAUAUUUAAUUGGGGUGAUUUAAAAAUUAAAUAAACUUUUAUUAAAUAAAACCAUAAAUUUAUGAAUAUUUGAUCCAUUAAUUAUGAUUAAAAGAAAAAAUUACCUUAGGGAUAACAGCGUAAUUUUUUUUGAGAGUUCUAAUUAAAAGAAAAGAUUGCGACCUCGAUGUUGGAUUAAAAUUAAUUUUUGGUGAAGAAGCUAAAAAUUUUGGGUCUGUUCGACCUUUAAAAUUUUACA